RNAcentral lists this ribosomal RNA (444 nucleotides) under uncultured bacterium. RNAcentral's name for it is "SSU rRNA". It matches the Rfam family "Bacterial small subunit ribosomal RNA", at positions 26 to 518 of the family's 1533-position model. The record is from RNAcentral.
AGAGCGAACGCUGGCGGCAGGCCUAACACAUGCAAGUCGAGCGCCCGUAGCAAUACGGGAGCGGCAGACGGGAUAGUAACACGUGGGAACGCGCCCUUCGGUUCGGAAUAACUCAGGGAAACUUGAGCUAAUACCGGAUACGCCCUUACGGGGAAAGAUUUAUUGCCGAAGGAACGGCCCGCGUCCGAUUAGCUAGUUGGUGAGGUAAUGGCUCACCAAGGCGACGAUCGGUAGCUGGUCUGAGAGGAUGACCAGCAUCACUGGGACUGAGACACGGCCCAGACUCCUACGGGAGGCAGCAGUGGGGAAUAUUGGACAAUGGGCGCAAGCCUGAUCCAGCCAUGCCGCGUGGAUGAUGAAGGCCUUAGGGUUGUAAAGUCCUUUAACGGGAAGAUAAUGACGGUACCGUAGAAUAAGCCCGGCUAACUUCGUGCCAGCAGCCGC